CGGUUGCGGCACUAAGUCAACAGAACGACUCAAUGUCGUAGACAGAAUGACUAAAGGCCAUAAAUAUCGCAGCAACGCUGCCAGUUAACAGAACGUGUAUAAGCCAUAAGUAUCGCAGAAAGGCUGAAAGCCUUGGACAGAACGGCUACUGGUCGUACACUUCCUCCGUCAAUAAUAACCUAACCCCAUGCAGUAUGUCAUGUCAUAAAUAAUACGUGUAUGCAAAGUCAUACUCAGUACAAUCAUAUAUGU
Molecule: long non-coding RNA, 252 nt
Filed under: Gossypium barbadense (sea-island cotton)
Lineage: Eukaryota; Viridiplantae; Streptophyta; Magnoliopsida; Malvales; Malvaceae
Description: long non-coding RNA (GBAR_LNC012503)
Source: RNAcentral